This 74-nucleotide transfer RNA is filed under the name Acidobacteriota bacterium. Its description in RNAcentral is "tRNA-Gln". It matches the Rfam family "tRNA". From Rfam's summary of the family: Transfer RNA (tRNA) molecules are approximately 80 nucleotides in length. Their secondary structure includes four short double-helical elements and three loops (D, anti-codon, and T loops). Further hydrogen bonds mediate the characteristic L-shaped molecular structure. tRNAs have two regions of fundamental functional importance: the anti-codon, which is responsible for specific mRNA codon recognition, and the 3' end, to which the tRNAs corresponding amino acid is attached (by aminoacyl-tRNA synthetases). tRNAs cope with the degeneracy of the genetic code in two manners: having more than one tRNA (with a specific anti-codon) for a particular amino acid; and 'wobble' base-pairing, i.e. permitting non-standard base-pairing at the 3rd anti-codon position. Lineage: Bacteria; Pseudomonadati; Acidobacteriota. RNAcentral also lists the same sequence under 2 other names. The record is from RNAcentral.
UGGGAGGUCGUUCAAUGGUAGGACACGCGGCUCUGAACCGUGCAAUCGGGGUUCGAAUCCCUGCCUCCCAGCCA